UACAGAGGUCUCAAGCGUUGUUCGGAAUCACUGGGCGUAAAGGGCGCGUAGGCGGCCGAUCAAGUCGGGGGUGAAAGCCUGUGGCUUAACCACAGAAUGGCCUUCGAUACUGUUUGGCUUGAGACCGGAAGAGGUUAGUGGAACUGCGAGUGUAGAGGUGAAAUUCGUAGAUAUUCGCAAGAACACCAGUGGCGAAGGCGGCUGACUGGUCCGGUUCUGACGCUGAGGCGCGAAAGCGUGGGGAGCAAUCAGG
Molecule: ribosomal RNA, 253 nt
Filed under: uncultured bacterium
Lineage: Bacteria
Description: partial 16S ribosomal RNA
Rfam family: Bacterial small subunit ribosomal RNA
Source: RNAcentral